RNAcentral lists this ribosomal RNA (840 nucleotides) under uncultured Acidilobales archaeon. RNAcentral's name for it is "bacterial SSU rRNA". It matches the Rfam family "Archaeal small subunit ribosomal RNA", at positions 85 to 871 of the family's 1478-position model. Lineage: Archaea; Thermoproteati; Thermoproteota; Thermoprotei; Acidilobales. The record is from RNAcentral.
ACKGCUCAGUAACACGUAGCCAACCUAACCUUGGGACGGGGACAACCCCGAGAAAUUGGGGCUAAUCCCCGAUAGGCGUGGAGGCCUGGAAUGGUUCUACGCUCAAAGGCACGGCGACCAUGUUUGCCGUGUGCCCAAGGGUGGAGCUGCGGCCGAUCAGGCAGUUGGUGAGGUAACGGCUCACCAAACCUUUGACCGGUAUGGGCCAUGAAAGUGGUAGCCCAGAGAUGUGCACUGAGACAAGGGCACAGGCCCUACGGGGCGCAGCAGGCGCGAAACCUCCACAAUGCACUCACGUGCGAUGGGGUUACCUCGAGUGCAUCCUGAAGAAGGAUGCUUUUCCACUGUAUAACUAGCCGUGGGAAUAAAGGGGGGGCAAGACUGGUGUCAGCCGCCGCGGUAAUACCCGCUCCCCGAGUGGUGAGGACGAUUAUUGGGCUUAAAGCGUCCGUAGCCGGCUCAGCAAGUUUCCCGUUAAAUCCAACGGCUUAACCGUUGGGCCGCGGGAAAUACUACAGAGCUCGGAGGCGGGAGAGGUCGUCGGUAGUCCUGGGGUAGGGGCAAAAUCUUCUGAUCCCAGGAGGACCACCAGUGGCGAAGGCGGAUGACCAGAACGCGCUCGACGGUGAUGGACGAAAGCUGGGGGAGCGAACCGGAUUAGAUAUGGAUCGAGGCAAGGCCCUCAUCCACUGAAGACCCGGGUAGUCCCAGCUGUAAACUAUGCAGGCUAUGUGUCGGGGCGGCCACGAGCUGUCCCGGUGCCGCAGGGAAACCAUUAAGCCUGCCGCCUGGGGAGUACGGCCGCAAGGCUGAAUUACGGAGCCUCUUAGAUUAUAGUAG